GGGGCAAAGGGUGGGCAAGGGGCCUGUUUGAGGAAGUGAAGUUUAAGCCAAAACCUACAUGAAGUGAUGGAGUGAACAGGAAGCCAAGAAGUGUUCCAGAUGGAAGGCACCACACAAAGUCUCCGAAGCAGAAACGUGUUCGGUGUGUCUGAGGAGCAGCCAGGAGCCGAGGUGGCUGCUGAGCAUGAUCCUGGUCUUCCAGACGGGUACUCAUCACACCUCUAAGAAUGGCCUCUUCCUACAACCGGCCCCCAGUCGAUCACGAGCAUAGAGAGGGCAGAAUUGCAUGCUGUGCAUUGCACUUCUAGGGCCAAACGCACUGUUACAUUUCAGUAUGAGAGUAAGAGAGAGAGAGACUGAGCAUUGCUCCACCUCAAGCACAGGCCUGGACUUUGUCUGUCCCGUGGCAGCCAUGCAGACAUGGCUCCCACAGCCAGCAGCUGGUGUGGGUCCUCUGAGAGCCGUGCCAGGCACACUGUGAAGACUGGAAGCCAAGCAGAGGGCGGGGACUCAAUUCCCUGGAAUCCUCCCGAAUAACUCAUGGUCAGCGGCUCCCACCUUCCAGGGCAACAGGUGGAUAAAGGAAAGACACAGAUCUUCGUGAGUGAGACGGAACCAGGGUGGGGAAAGGCUGGGAAGUAGUUCAGCUUGGGUCAGGGCACAGGCCUGAAGUUCACGGCUUGGCUUGAGGCCAUGCAGGCGGUGCUCUGCUAUGUUCUAUCUGCACGACUUUGAACCUUCACACAGCCUCUGUCCCCUAAAGCAGGGUAGGGAUAACAUUCUAAUUGCAGGGCUGUUGGGAAAAAUCAAGGGUGUUAAUAACUGUGAACAGUUGACAACAAGGCCUGGCAUGUAGGGUGGCCUUAAGAUGCUGCCUUUAUGUUUUCACUUUUCUGUCUCCUGCCAAGUUCUUUCUUAUUCCUCCCUAACAGAAUGGUUUGAGGGCUGGUGGUUACAAAUGCCUCUUUCUCUUCUGCCUUUGAUUUUGGUUCCUGUCAAGAUCUGAAUCAGAGACGUGUGCCCUGAAGACACGGCAGAGAUCGGGGUACUCCUGACCCUGCACAAGGUGGGUGCUGUCCCCGGUCUCCAGAAGACUUGGGGGCUCAAGGAGGCCAGGUAUCCACCAGUCAUCACCAGAGUAAGCGGGGGCGUCGGGAUUUGAGCCCAAGUUAGCUUGUUCCAGUUCUAUGGUUUCCCAUCCCACGUGCUGCUGCCGUGGGGUCUGUGAUGUGAUGGAGCAUCUCUGAGCCCAGAGCGGGGGAGUUUUGUGACAAGCUCUUCUAGGAUAGGGGAGAAGGCUGUUCCUGGCCUUGUCCUGUAUGUGCGUAAAAGAAGGAAAAGAAAAGCAAGUGAAUGAACUAUUUGCUCUCAAGGCUGACAAUAGACCCUGGGGGUGAAGGAUAGGAAACAUUAAUGACUUAAAGCAGGACUAUUCAUAGCAUCUCCAUGCCUGCUGUUCUUACUUCUCUUUAUGAUGAACAAAAAUCAAGAGAAGCCCUAUGCCUCUAUUCUUCCAGUGCCUGCUGGCUUUCAGGAAUGGGUAUCCCAUGUCUUAGGGCCUUUGUCUAUUCAAGGUUAUUACCAAGAGCUUCUAGAGGUAGAGCCAAGGGGGAGGAGGUGAUGGUGAGCAGGAAGAGGACAGAGCCACUGGGGUGAGGACUUGGCCUUGGGGGUAAAGAAGCUACUGCAGGUCCCAGAUACUCAGGUGGCAGUGAGCAGCCUCUUAGCCAACCCCUCUGGGUUGCCAGGUGGGGAAGCAGCCUGAGGUGCAGCCACUCACUCACUCAACUGGAGUACCCCGGGUCUUUGCAUCUGCUGUCAGCUCCAACACGCUGUUUGGGAAAAGGGACAAAUACAGAAAGGAGGACAAGAUCAGAUCCCAAAGAGUCCUCUCUGGAAGGGAGGAGGGAAACCUCCUCUCAAGGCUGGAGGGG
Long non-coding RNA from Bos taurus (domestic cattle), 1934 nucleotides. The record is from Ensembl. Lineage: Eukaryota; Metazoa; Chordata; Mammalia; Artiodactyla; Bovidae.